AUCGAACGCUAGCGGGAUGCCUUAUACAUGCAAGUCGAACGGAGUGGCGAACGGGUGAGUAAUGUAUCGGAACGUGCCCAGUAGCGGGGGAUAACUACGCGAAAGCGUAGCUAAUACCGCAUACUAUUGGAGCGGCAGAUAUCGUAUUAGCUAGUUGUGGGGGUAACGGCUCACCAAGGCGACGAUCAGUAGCUGGUUUGAGAGGCCGACCAGCCACACUGGGACUGAGACACGGCCCAGGCUCCUACGGGAGGCAGCAGUGGGGAAUUUUGGCCAUUGGGGGAAACCCUGAACCAGCCAUCCCGCGUGUGCAAUGAAGGCCUUCGGGUUGUAAAGCACGUUUGGCAGGAAAGCGGUACCUGCAGAAUAAGCACCGGCUAACUACGUGCCAGCCGCCGCGGUAAUAC
This 407-nucleotide ribosomal RNA is filed under the name uncultured bacterium. Its description in RNAcentral is "partial 16S ribosomal RNA". It matches the Rfam family "Bacterial small subunit ribosomal RNA", at positions 30 to 526 of the family's 1533-position model. The record is from RNAcentral.